This 2166-nucleotide long non-coding RNA is filed under the name Triticum aestivum (bread wheat). RNAcentral describes it as "long non-coding RNA (TAES_LNC007127)". Lineage: Eukaryota; Viridiplantae; Streptophyta; Magnoliopsida; Poales; Poaceae. The record is from RNAcentral.
GGCCUUCGUUAAAUUAAAAAAAAGGUGAUUCUAUUUCUUGAAGCUCCCGACUGCUCAUGUACUAUUUCACAUUGCCAUCUUCCAUUACAAUUUCGUUCACGGUAACAUUGAGAAUCCUACAACAUUAGUGGUGUGAGAUAUUUUGUAAGUGUUAUAGUGAUGUGCAUUUUUGUAGGUUUGUAGUUUUGUGACUCCAUUUGGUUUUAUAAGUGUGAUUCACCAAUACAAUUCGAAUGUGAAUUGCUUGCAGUUUUGUAUAAGACUAUUUGGUUUGUCCUGCUAACUCCGCCACACCUCAGUUUUGGUCCUAGGUAAGCCGCUGCGUGUAUGACGGCCUAAGAUGCCAUGGCCGGCGUGGUGUGAUGGUGGUUUACAGCGGAUCAAGAUUGUUGGCAAGGACUUCCCACUGAGUAUGAGAGGCCGGUGACCAUCCGUCCAUGAUUCUUCCUCGGUAUGCCACUCUGAGGAUGUCGAGGCCUUCCCAAUGAGUAUUUCAGUUCCCGAAGUCUCUCUUUCUGAUGGCAAGGUAAAGUUUAGUUCGUUGGUGACCAUGUUCAUUAAAUAUUCUUGUCAGAGUCCUCGAUUCCAAGCUUACAUUAUAAUGCAUUUUAGCCCAGAGAUACGAUUUUCACCAUGUGUCUGUUGUAGCCAAGGCCAUACAUCGCCUCCUACCGUGAGUAAAUUUGAAACCCCAUAUCCAUAAAAUGUUGUACUCACUUGGCAAUCCCAGAUCUGUUCUGGACUCUUGGUAUUCAGUCUAAAUUAUAAGCAGGCAUGAUGCUCAAUAUUGUAGCAAUGAACAUCAGGGCGCGUACUAAGUUCCAACUAAGAAAGUUCAGUUUGGCUAUUUGCCUUUUUUUACAUAGAUUAGAAUGAGUAGCUGCAAAAGAGUUCUGUCAUUUUGAGUUUUUGUGUAAGAGAAGGUACCAUCAACAAUCACGCAUAAUAUAAUAUGGAUAGCUUCAAACAUGUAGCUAUCCCAUGGGCUUGAGUUAUAUUACCGAAGCGGGGAUCUGUAUGUAUAAGUGUAAAGAUGUCCUAUAGUCAUUUUUUUGUAUGAUUUUCUAAGUGUUGCCUUUGUUGUCUUUACCUAAUGAUAACCCGCUAGCAAAUAGGUUGUCAGAAUCGCGAUUCUGUUAUACGAUUCUACGACUUUACGAUCCAAACUAACCCCUAUGAUUCUACGAUUUUAGUUCUUAGAAUCUACGUUUCUACGAUCCUGCUAGUGAAGAUUCUACGAUUUGCGAUCCUACCAUCGAAGCUCCGAUCCGAUUCAAGAUCGCGAUUCUGACAACCUUAGAAGUAAAUAAUUUGUUCCUUAUCUUAGCACCUAAUUUGCCUGCAUUAUGUUGUUAAUAGUAGCAUUUUUUGUUCAAAUUUUCAUCCUGUUGCGAAUCUGCAUGCCUUGUUUCUAAUUAUUUAAGUUCAGACUGUCCCUUCAAACGCCAUGAGUCAAGUCUAGGAUAUGUCAGCAUGAUGCUUCCACUCCCAACAUGAGACCAGAUUCUUUUAAUUUCGGGUAGGAAACUAUCAUGGUUAUUAUUUUACUCUCUGGAUGUUGCACAAAUGCUUGAACAAUUUCCUUGUAGAUUUCAGUGUAGUGGUUGCAAAAGUGUUGAUGGAAAUGGCUUAUUGAGUUGCCAAUUUUUAAUUGCAGGGACUGGUGAAGCACAAACAUGCGACAUGGCUUGGAGUAGACACCAACUCCAUGGUUCCAUUCUGCAAGAUGUGGCUUGGAUUACCGUGCUGCUGAGAACAGUGGCUGCGCUUGGUUUUGAAAUUGGGAAGGUUUAAUUCAAGAUUUUUAUAUCUUCCCCCUGUUUUUGUAUGGACAAUGUGUGUGCUGUUUAUAAAAUGUUUAGUUAUGUUUGGCUGAUGAGUAUAAACUCUUUUCUCUGCAUGUUUACCAUGAAUGAUGAAACACACAUCAGUUGGCUCACUUGAGUUCCUGUGCUAACUGAUAAUCCAUGCAGUCUCUUAUUCUGUAUGCUAUACAAGUUUGUUUUAGCGUCAUAUUGACUAGCAUUUAGAUAAUGUCAAACCAUGUCAAAUGAUGGGGUUGUGUGAAGCGGAGGUUACUUCUAUUUUAUCACGUCGCAUGUGAAGCUUAUGCAAGGACAUGCCAUUUUAGGUACUUUGCAUGAGAAUGCAAGAGCUCUGCUUUUG